This is a long non-coding RNA of Ipomoea triloba (trilobed morning glory), 2002 nucleotides long. RefSeq lists it as uncharacterized. The record is from RefSeq and is a predicted model, not a curated record. The transcript has 2 exons. Lineage: Eukaryota; Viridiplantae; Streptophyta; Magnoliopsida; Solanales; Convolvulaceae.
CGGAUGAAGAGGAGGGGGAGACGGGGAGUCGAGUGGUAUGUAGAAGAGGCAUAUUUCGGGUUUGUGCGUGAAUCUGACGCCUAGAUUUUGCUGUUGCUUAUGGCGGUUCGUUAGAUUCACGCACAAACUCGUAAUAUGCCUUUUCAUGGUUUUCACCCCCGCUAUCGGAUUUGCUGUUUCAUCGGUUUAGUGCAAAUGAUCUGUGGUUUUGCUCCAAUGGAAUCUUUACAAUGGCAGACAAACUUGAUCUGCUUUGAGUCACAUGAAAAUGAUCUGUGAAAGAAGGUACGAGCUAUCCAUCAUCAGCUUGAGGUUAUUCAUUAUUCUGCCGGUAACUUCUUCACUUUCUAACAUUAUAAUGAUGACAUUUUGCAUAAGCUUAUAAUUAUUGAACACAUGAUCAUGUAUUGCCAAUGGUCACGGUCCAAAUUUUGGGUUCAAAUUGGUAGGUAGCAUUUACAUUUUAUACGACAGUCUAAGUGUAGGAUUUUGAGUUCAAAUCGAUAGCAUUGACAUUUUAUACGGAAUUAAUGUAUUUGCAGAACUCUUAAUCUAUCUACCAACUAAAGCCUAUAUAAUACAUGCUUAACUAUUGAAUAUAAACAUUUGCAAAAAUCAGAUUUUCCUUUUGAGUUUCAGACUUACAUUCCAGUAUAGGUGUAUACGGCCUUGCUUGUUAUUUAUUAACUUUCAAAAAUGGAAGUGCUCUGCCUUGCUUGUGAUUUAUCAACCUUCAAAAACAGAAGUGUGGUGAAGGUAAGGGUCAUUCAUACAUACAUAGUCAUGAAAAGAAAAGGUUUGUCUGAAAUAAAGAUUAAAGAAGUUGUCUUUCACGACCGAAGAGGUACAUGUUCUUUUUGCCUAAAUCUGCAUCAACAAUGAAUAUUUUCAAUUUGUAUAUAUAUAUAUAUAUAUAUAUAUAUACACACACACACACACACACACCAGUGUCAACAUUUUUGCUUAUACCAAAACUAAUUAUACCAAAAUUCAUGAACAGUUUUGUAGAACAAAAAGUUUAUGGUGUCAAAAAUUUGUCAUUACAAACUUUUAUACCUACAAAACUAGCUUGCACCCAUAUAUGUUAAAAUUCAACCAUGAAAAAGUAUUGAAAGAAUUAAAUUCAUAAAAUUUCCUAUGGCAUAUGUACUGGCUAAGGCCCUUUCCCAAUUUGAAAGGUAACACGUAUAAUGAGGAAGAGCUUAUUGAUAUUUGAUAAGUUUUCUUACCAAUCAUUUCUUUAUAUUUCCCUAUAUUUAGGGAAACAAUAAUUUUAAUUGUUAUGAUUUAUUUAAAUUAUUUAAUAGAUGUGAUUAGUAAUUAUGGUUUAUUUAAAAUUUUUUUAAUAGAUGUGAUUAGUCAUGUGAUUGAGAUACAUUUACCCCAAGAUAAGAACAUUGCUGAUAAGAACAUUGCUGGUCAGAAUUGUAGGUUUAUAGACUUUGCAAUAGAAGGUAACUAAUUACUUACUAUAGAGAUUGGAUACAAAUUGUCUACUGUGCAUCUUUUACCAAGUUUAUUACUGUGCAUCCAAUCUGCAUCUUCUACCAAGUUUCACCGGAUGGGAAUUUACGUCAGUGAAAUCUAGCGGCGGCGGAUCUUGAGUUAGACCACAAUAUGAAGAGGGAGGGAGGGCUAAAGACACAAGAUGACCAAAUUACUCCUGCGUAAUCAGAGUCCUCACCGGAAUACGGUCGAAUGGAGUGUUCUAUGACUAAAAAUAAUUAAUCUCGGGGACUAAAUUGAUUAAUACAAAGUUAAGGGACUACAUUGAUAGUUCGCGAACAAUUGAGGGACCAUAAAGGUGAUUUACUCAUUUUUCAAUGAAGAAUGUGUUUCAUCUCAACUGAAAGAUGAAGCCUUUUGUAUCCGACCUCUAUGGCUAUAGACAAAGUGUUACGUAUGCGGAUUGAUUAUUUACAUGUGGAUCAUAGUUGUGUUUGAGUUGUCUCUGAUAUCAAAUUGAAUGAUGUGUUUUAUCUCAAUUAAAAAUUUAAACUGA